This 440-nucleotide ribosomal RNA is filed under the name uncultured bacterium. RNAcentral's name for it is "partial 16S ribosomal RNA". It matches the Rfam family "Bacterial small subunit ribosomal RNA", at positions 338 to 795 of the family's 1533-position model. The record is from RNAcentral.
CCUACGGGUGGCAGCAGUGGGGAAUAUUGCACAAUGGGGGAAACCCUGAUGCAGCGACGCCGCGUGAGUGAAGAAGUAAUUCGUUAUGUAAAGCUCUAUCAGCAGGGAAGAAAAUGACGGUACCUGAGUAAGAAGACCCGGCUAACUACGUGACAGCAGCCGCGGUAAUACGUAGGGGGCAAGCGUUAUACGGAUUUACUGGGUGGAAAGGGAGCGUAGACGGCAGUGCAAGUCUGGAGUGAAAGGCGGGGGCUCAACCCACGGACUGAUCUGGAAACUGUACGGCUGGAGUGCAGGAGAGGUAAGUGGAAUUCCUAGUGUAGCGGUGAAAUGCGUAGAUAUUAGGAGGAACACCAGUGGCGAAGGCGGCUUACUGGACUGUAACUGACGUUGAGGCUCGAAAGCGUGGGGAGCAAACAGGAUUAGAUACCCUUGUAGUC